RNAcentral lists this unclassified non-coding RNA (541 nucleotides) under Hevea brasiliensis (rubber tree). The record is from RNAcentral. Lineage: Eukaryota; Viridiplantae; Streptophyta; Magnoliopsida; Malpighiales; Euphorbiaceae.
CGGAUCCAAUAUAUCAAGCGAGGUUGGGCUGCGGUUACUUCUUUGCCCGCUUGGUUCUAAUGUUGUAAUUCGAACAGCAUGCUGUUCUGUGGGGGUUAUUUUACCUGUGUACUCUACAUUCAAGGCAAUUGAGAGGAAAGAUCAAAAUGAGCAACAAAAAUGGCUAAUAUAUUGGGCAGCAUAUGGUUCUCUCAGCCUUGUGGAAGCAUUUUCAGACAAGUUACUCUCAUGGGUUCCAAUGUAUUAUCAUGUGAAGUUUGCAUUUCUAGUGUGGCUUCAACUUCCAUCUACUGAAGGCGCAAUGCAUUUGUAUAGGAACCACCUGCGUCCGUUCUUCUCCAGACAUCAAGCUAGAGUUGAUCUGCUUAUGGGCUUUGCUUAUGGUGAAAUGGCUAAAAUUGUCAGCACACACCGAGCAGAAAUUGAAUAUGCUAGAGCUAUAAUCUUGAAGAUUAUGGGUUCUGCUGACCAAACGAGUAAGGGCGAGUCUGAUCGUUCUAAAGAGCACCUGGCAAUUGAAGGCGGGACAAGGACAAGCACA